Phascolarctos cinereus (koala) is the source of this 392-nucleotide non-coding RNA. The record is from RefSeq and is a predicted model, not a curated record. NCBI's taxonomy places the organism in Eukaryota, Metazoa, Chordata, Mammalia, Diprotodontia, Phascolarctidae.
UUUCUAUUGUGCACAGAUUCCUCUAAAUCCUUCUUGGACUUCCCCAUAUAUUGGGCCUGUGGCAUCUUUUAGAGAUAGGCAAAUUGAGGCUGAAGGAGGGUGAGUGAGUUGUCCAGGAUCACAGAGCUAUCUAGCGGCCAAAGUGAUUUGUGCUUCCUGUAGGCCCCUGUGGAGAGACCAGUCCUGGUUCAGAUCGGUUUGAGCUACCCAGGGCCAAGGUCACCGUACAGGCCAGUGGUCACCUUGCCUCUGACAUUGCACCUAAAUUGGCCUCUUUGAGAAUUUUCACCCACUGCUUCCUGUUUGGCCCCUGGGGGCCAAAUCCUUUCUCCACACGACAGACCUUUACAUUUUGGACGACAGCUAACAUGGCCCCCCAAGACCUCUCUUCU